This 103-nucleotide microRNA precursor is filed under the name Marmota monax (woodchuck). The record is from RNAcentral. Lineage: Eukaryota; Metazoa; Chordata; Mammalia; Rodentia; Sciuridae.
AGGGGAAUAGCUGGGUCGAAUGGUGGUUCCAUUCCCAGCUUUCCAAGGAAUCUACAUACUGCUCUCCAGAUUGGCUGUACCAAUUUGCAGUCCCACCAGCAAU